This 437-nucleotide ribosomal RNA is filed under the name uncultured bacterium. RNAcentral describes it as "partial 16S ribosomal RNA". It matches the Rfam family "Bacterial small subunit ribosomal RNA", at positions 30 to 507 of the family's 1533-position model. The record is from RNAcentral.
AGCGAACGCUGGCGGCAUGCUUAACACAUGCAAGUCGCGCGGGUGGUUUCGGCCAUCGGCGGCGGACGGGUGAGUAUCGCGUGGGAAUGUAUCCCGAGGUGGGGGACAACCCUGGGAAACUGGGGCUAAUACCGCAUGGGGCCUGUGGGUCAAAGCCUUAGGACGCCUUGGGAGCAGCCUGCGUCCGAUUAGGUAGUUGGUGGGGUAAAGGCCUACCAAGCCUGCGAUCGGUAGCUGGUCUGAGAGGACGAGCAGCCACACUGGGACUGAGACACGGCCCAGACUCCUACGCGAGGCAGCAGUGGGGAAUAUUGGACAAUGGGCGCAAGCCUGAUCCAGUAAUGCCGGGUGGGUGAAGAUGGUCGUCGGAUUGUAAAGCCCAUUCGGCGGGGAAGAUGAUGACGGUACCCGAAGAAGAAGCCCCGGCUAACUUCGUG